UAACGCGUGAGGAACCUGCCUUUCAGAGGGGGACAACAGUUGGAAACGACUGCUAAUACCGCAUAAUAUAUGUUUGUCGCAUGGCAGAUAUAUCAAAGAUUUAUCGCUGAGAGAUGGCCUCGCGUCUGAUUAGCUAGUUGGUAGGGUAACGGCCUACCAAGGCGACGAUCAGUAGCCGGACUGAGAGGUUGGCCGGCCACAUUGGGAGUGAGAUACGGCCCAGACUCCUACGGGAGGCAGCAG
RNAcentral lists this ribosomal RNA (243 nucleotides) under uncultured bacterium. Its description in RNAcentral is "partial 16S ribosomal RNA". It matches the Rfam family "Bacterial small subunit ribosomal RNA", at positions 111 to 354 of the family's 1533-position model. The record is from RNAcentral.